This 800-nucleotide ribosomal RNA is filed under the name Eleutherodactylus schwartzi. RNAcentral's name for it is "partial 16S ribosomal RNA". It matches the Rfam family "Bacterial large subunit ribosomal RNA", at positions 1413 to 2528 of the family's 2925-position model. The record is from RNAcentral. Lineage: Eukaryota; Metazoa; Chordata; Amphibia; Anura; Eleutherodactylidae.
CGUCAAAGCUUAGUUUAAUAACACUUAACCAAUCCCUCAAACCCUAAAGAACCCCUCAUCUCUACUGAAUGAUCUUAUACUUCUAUAAGACCCCUUAUGUUAAAACUAGUAACAAGAAGCUAACCCUCUCUUAUAUGUAAACAUACGUCAGAACAGAUAGUCUACCGACUCAUAACAGCCAUAAAUUUUAGUACCACCACCCUGAGAAAACCUUACUUAAACAACUGUUAACCUAACACAAGAGCAUAAAAAGAAAGAUUACAAGAAAAAGAAGGAACUCGGCAAAUUUUGAUUCCGCCUGUUUACCAAAAACAUCGCCUCCUGCCUACAUAUAGGAGGUCCAGCCUGCCCAGUGACCUAGUUCAACGGCCGCGGUAUCCUAACCGUGCGAAGGUAGCGUAAUCACCUGUUUUUUAAUUAAAGACCUGUAUCAAAGGCAUCACGAGAAUCGCACUGUCUCCUUUUUCCAAUCAGUGAACCUAAUCCCCUCGUGAAAAAGCGAGAAUAACUAUACAAGACGAGAAGACCCUUUGGAGCUUUAGAUAUAGUAAUAUACUGCUUCCACUUCCCUCUCACCUAUAUUAAAUAGCAUCCAUCUUACAAUUCUUCGGUUGGGGCAACCGCGGAGCAUAAAACAACCUCCAAGCUGAAUGGAACUUUCCUUAACAAAAAGCCACAUCUUUAUGUAUCAACAAAUUGACAUUAUGACCCAAUAUUUUGAUUAUCGAACCAAGUUACCCUAGGGAUAACAGCGCAAUCUACUUCAAGAGCCCAUAUCGACAAGUAGGCUUACGACCUCG